This 347-nucleotide long non-coding RNA is filed under the name Homo sapiens (human). RNAcentral describes it as "non-protein coding lnc-ANAPC1-7:1". The record is from RNAcentral. Lineage: Eukaryota; Metazoa; Chordata; Mammalia; Primates; Hominidae.
GAAUUUGGGGCCUGGGAAUGUUUAAAAAUGAAAGCCAGUUAAUAGUUUUAUUUUUCUUUUAACAUGACAGACAGGAGAACAACCAGCAGGAGCUAUGAGCAACAUAGCAGUGAUUCAGCAAGCUCACAAUAGCUUUACCAGGCAGCAAAUUGAAGCAGAUUACAGCUACUAGGAAAGACGCUUCUCAUUUUGUGAGAUGUGCUCCCGUGGCUGAAAGAUUGUGUGAAUUAGGUAGAUUGAGGGAAGGGCCAAUUGAUUUAGAGUACUGCAAUCAAGACAACUGGAUAGCCUAGUGAUGCCAGCUCAGAAAAAGAAUAGUAAAGUAUAGUGAAAACAAAAAUUCAAUU